AUACUCUCUCUGAUGAUUUGGCCCACUUUUUAACUGUUUGCAUGUUCCGUUCCAGACCAAUAGACAGAGGAAAAAAGAAAAUCCAAAAGGAACUAGAUUCUCUCGACAUUAUUAGACUUUUCACUUUUGUUAGGUGCAAACUGGAAUUUUGUGUAUGGACAUGAUGCUAUAGAUUUCUGGUGGGCAUCAGUAUAGCCAAUUCAUAUUUCAUGGGGCUGGUAUCUCACCCUUUCAAUUGCCAGGUGCUCUAUACAAAGGCAUAUAUUAAUUUUGAAAUAUCAAAGGGUGUGGUUGAAUGGAUCAGAGAGCUUGAUGAGAGACUUAUAGACAUAUUAAAGCAUUUGAAGGUCUGGAUAAGCCAUAAAAAGUUGGAGGUUACUUUUAACUUUGUGCCAAGAUAGAGUAAACCACUCAAAUUUCUUAUAUUGGUGUACUGUUUUAAGAGAUUUGAGCUUUUAUAGGACUUUGAACUUCUGUUAAUAUUCAUGUAUUACUUAAGGUUUUUUUUUUUUGUAUGGAAACUUCCAUAUGGAUCUAACAUUUCUUUAUUGUUAUAUUUUUUUUAAUUAUGUUUUAA
Molecule: long non-coding RNA, 577 nt
Organism: Quercus robur (English oak)
Lineage: Eukaryota; Viridiplantae; Streptophyta; Magnoliopsida; Fagales; Fagaceae
Exons: 3
Source: RefSeq, a predicted model, not a curated record